Daphnia pulex (common water flea) is the source of this 1698-nucleotide long non-coding RNA. RefSeq lists it as uncharacterized. NCBI's taxonomy places the organism in Eukaryota, Metazoa, Arthropoda, Branchiopoda, Diplostraca, Daphniidae. The transcript has 9 exons. The record is from RefSeq and is a predicted model, not a curated record.
CGGUAAAAGGCGCUUGGUUCGAUAGCGUCAUGAAGAUGGCGUCAUCUGUCCAUCAUCAACCAUUAACCAUCAACCAUCAUCGACUCUUACGCAUUUAAUGAAAAUGUUUUUUAUAAAUUAUUACGAGGUCUUAAACGAAUUUUUCAAUGUGGUUUAAUUUUUGAUUCUAUUUGUGUAAAGAUUUCCAUCUAUCGGUUAAAAUGGCGUGGUUCAUUAGCGUCAUGAAGAUGGCGUCAUCUGUCCAUCAAUCCAUCAUCAACCUCAUCGUUAAUUUACAAAUACAAACAAGAAAAAAAAUCGAUUUUGAAUCGUUUUUAUGUCAAGCAGACGCCAAGCAUCUUUGAAUAGCGUGGUCUGUGCUCUAUGAUAAGUGUUACUGCUGGAGUGAGCAAUUUCAGAUAGCGUCAUGAUGGCGUGCCCCGUUAGCGUCAUGAUGGCGUGCCCCGUUAGCGUCAUGGUUGGCGUGCCCUGUUAGCGUCAUGGUUGGCGUGCCCUAUGUAAGCGUCGUGAUUGGCGUGCCCUGUGUUAACACAAUAUGCUUUCUUUAUUCGUGUGCUGUGAUUUCAACACCAGCAUUGGUCAGAGGAGACUCGCAAGCAGCAAGCUAGAACCUCUUCAUCAGCCAGAAGCUUGCUACAAAGAAGUACACAGUACAGGGGCUGCACAGAUGUGCAACAAUUUUAUCGAGCCAUGGCAUCUGAGUGUGAUGGUGCCCUGUCAAUUUAUAAUAUGCCAACCCCUAACUAGCCUAGGAGUAAACAGGUUGAUUUGCAUUAUUUGUAAGUAUAACCAUUUUCAGAUUCCUUGUUAGCAGAUGUAACAGUUGAAAACAUUGGCAUUCCACAUUGGAGCAAAAAACUUGGUCGGUGAUUGUUCAAUUUCCUGACGACUCUAUUUGGCUUCUGUGUUAAGGCGCCGAAAGUACAGUUUUACUCAAGUGUGUUGCAGGAUCAAUCGACGAAACAGAACAACACAUUAAGGAUUACGCAAUGCUUGGACUGCGGUGCUCGCCAAUCAAUGGUUGAUCGACAAACGGAACUAGCGAGAUGCUUUGAUGUGAUUGAAGUUGAUAUAACAUUAUUGGGAGCAACAGGAGUGGAGGACCAACUUCAAGAGGAAGUACAAGAGACUCUAGAAUCUCAAAAAAUUUCUGGAAUUCAAAUAUGGGUGUUAACUGGUGAUAAAUUUGAAACUGCUGUUAAUAUUGCACAUUCUUGCGGUCAUUUCAAACGAGGGAUGUACAUUUUUGAAUUGAGUUCAUCAGAAGAAGUCGAAGAAAUGUUGUUCCAGUCCAGCAAAUCAAUACGAGAUCUACCGGAUCGUCAUUAUGGAAUGGUAAUAGAUUGCCAUUGUCUAUCUAUGGCAUUAACUCACCACCGAAAUGUUGUAGCCGAAGUGACGAAACACUGUGAAGCUGUCGUCUGUUGCCGGAUGUCACCCAUUCAAAAAGCCGAGUGAUUGGACUAUUCCGCAGGCAGCGUGGUCAACAAUGGAUUUAAUUCAAGAUUAAGAAUUUUCAAUCGGCGAAGAAUUCCUUACACGAAGUGUACAAUUACAUCAAACGUGUAGAUUUCUAAUUAAAUAUUUAAUUGUGUGAUUCUCGCAUUUUUUAAAUGGGAUGGGUAGUUACUAUUGUUAGAAAUGUUCAUUAUUUUUCAUACUGUUUGUAUUAUAAUGAUUUAAAUAAAUACUAUUUAU